This 119-nucleotide ribosomal RNA is filed under the name uncultured bacterium. Its description in RNAcentral is "partial 16S ribosomal RNA". It matches the Rfam family "Bacterial small subunit ribosomal RNA", at positions 1367 to 1482 of the family's 1533-position model. The record is from RNAcentral.
UACGUUCCCGGGCCUUGUACACACCGCCCGUCACGUCACGAAAGUCGGUAACACCCGAAGCCGGUGGCCCAACCCCUUGUGGGAGGGAGCCGUCGAAGGUGGGACUGGCGAUUGGGACG